This 460-nucleotide ribosomal RNA is filed under the name uncultured bacterium. RNAcentral describes it as "partial 16S ribosomal RNA". It matches the Rfam family "Bacterial small subunit ribosomal RNA", at positions 338 to 795 of the family's 1533-position model. The record is from RNAcentral.
CCUACGGGAGGCAGCAGUGAGGAAUAUUGGUCAAUGGGCGCGAGCCUGAACCAGCCAAGUAGCGUGAAGGAUGACUGCCCUACGGGUUGUAAACUUCUUUUAUAAAGGAAUAAAGUGCGGCACGUGUGCCUUUUUGUGUGUACCUUAUGAAUAAGGAUCGGCUAACUCCGUGCCAGCAGCCGCGGUAAUACGGAGGAUCCGAGCGUUAUCCGGAUUUAUUGGGGUUAAAGGGUGCGUAGAUGGGUUGUUAAGUCAGUUGUGAAAUUUUGCGGCUCAACCUUAACAGUGCAUUUGAUACUGGCAGCCUUGAGUACAGUAGAGGUAGGCGGAAUGCGUGGUGUAGCGGUGAAAUGCUUAGAUAUCACGAAGAACUCCGAUUGCGAAGGCAGCUUACUAGACUGCAACUGACGUUGAUGCUCGAAAGUGUGGGUAUCGAACAGGAUUAGAUACCCGGGUAGUC